UUAGCUCAAUUUUGUAUGAAGUGGGAUCGUUUGCCUACGUUGGCCGCUAGGGGCACUGUUCUAACUGCAUACAAUCGUUA
RNAcentral lists this microRNA precursor (80 nucleotides) under Bombyx mori (domestic silkworm). RNAcentral describes it as "mir-2807 microRNA precursor family". It matches the Rfam family "mir-2807 microRNA precursor family". The record is from Rfam by way of RNAcentral. Lineage: Eukaryota; Metazoa; Arthropoda; Insecta; Lepidoptera; Bombycidae.